Long non-coding RNA from Homo sapiens (human), 728 nucleotides. Ensembl annotates it as long intergenic non-protein coding RNA 1531. NCBI's taxonomy places the organism in Eukaryota, Metazoa, Chordata, Mammalia, Primates, Hominidae. The record is from Ensembl.
AUAAACAAGCACUGGCCUCAGGAUAAGCAGUGUUGAAACAUUUGGAAGCUCCUGCAGAUGCUGAAUAACUGACCUCCAGCCUCUGUUCCACCAGCCACAACUACAGCUUUGAUUGGAGAAGAGACUGAUUUCAGCCACUUUCUCCUGGUAUAAAAGCCUGCCGUUGGUGGAAAAGGAAAAGGUGGUCCAGUUAGACAAGAUGCCACCGGCUUCUGAAACCAGACAUCUUUGAAAACCCACCCAUCUACCUGCAGGAAAAGAGACAGGGUUUCACUAUGUUGGCCAGGAUGUUCAACAACUUCUGCCUUCAAGCGAUCUUCCCUCCUGGGCCUCCCCAAGUGCUGAGUUUACAAGCAUCAGCCACCACACCCAGCCUAUGACAUUUUCUUCAUUAUGGCUGGUACUGCCUCAUGAAAAGGGGGUUCCUCAUGCUGGAUCUGAACAACCCAGCACAGGCAAGUCUGGGGAGCAAGGCAGGAGCCUGCAUGUGGACUCAAAGGACCGGCACCCGAAACAAAGCAGUGGCUGGCACAGGUGGACAAACCAGGCAAGAAAAGCAACUGUCCUUCGGAGCAGAGUCCACGUGAUGGGAAGAAACAGGUCAUGAUACUUUUGAGUGGUUACAUCCUACUGUGUUUGUGCCUUCUUUUUUCCUUUCUCAGUCUUGCCAAGAGACCCAUUAAUUUGUCUUUUCAGAAAACCAAGAUCCUCUCCAGCAUUUAUCUUUG